GUGAAAGACUUGGCGUCGGUCUCUCUGAAGCAGCCAGUGCGUAUCUUUGUGAAAAGCAACACAGACGUGGCGCCCUACAGGAGUUUGUCAGGAUCCGACCAGCCAGGGAAGGAGACAAGGAGGCGGUUGUGGGCGCCCUGCUGACACAGAUGUUCCAGGACCACGUGAUGGUGUUCACUCAGACUAAGAAGCAGGCCCACCGGAUGCACAUCCUCCUGGGCCUGAUGGGGCUAAAGGUGGGGGAGCUGCACGGGAACCUGUCCCAGACCCAGAGACUGGAGAGCCUCAGAGGUGAUUUCAAAGUUCUGAGACCUGAUUGAGAAGCUGAAGAAGGACGUGUACGCCGUGAUGCGCCUGGAGAGAGAGGAGAGGGCCAUGGCCUACACGGAGGCUCAGGUUAAAAGCAGCAUAUUGUGUGUAUUCAAAUAGAUGGUAGUGUGUUCCUGUGGUCAUAUGUGUGUAUGUGUAUUUUGUGUAUGUGUGCGCACGUGUCAUUAAGAUCAGUGUGGCACAGAAGCAGCUAGCACAGAACGCAGAUGAGACAGACCCCCAGAGGACGUGGUUCAAAAUGCACGAUGAGCGCAAGAAAGACUGCAUGGCCAAAGCUCUGGCGGACUUUGACUUGGCCCUAAGGGGAAAGAAGAGUGAGAAGUUCAUCAAAGAGGGGAAAAAGAAAGAUUUAUCGUCUGAGGACAGAGCCCAGUUUGAGAUCCUCAAGUCCCAGAUGUACGCCGAGUGAGCAGCCAAGAGGGACCGCACACCUAAACGAGCCAGGGCCAUGCCAGAGGAUGAGCCUGUCCAGAAAGGCCCAUCCCUCCCCCGUGUCAUCGAUGGCCAGCCAGCGUAUACGGUGAGACGCCUCCUGAGGGUUCGACCACGGGGCAGGGGUUUCCAGUACCUGGUUGACUGGGAGGGUUGCUGUCACUUCCUGAUCUGUUUCACCUGUCCUUGUGAUUGUCUCUACCCCCUCUAGGUGUCGCUUAUUUUCCCUGGUGUAUGUAUCCCUGUGUUUCCUGUCUCUCUGUGCCAGUUCGUCUUGUCAAGUCAACCAGUGUUUUGACCAUUGCCUGCCCUGACUCUGUACCCGUAUGCUUGACUAUUCUGCCUGCCCUGACCUCGAGCCUGCCUGCCUGCCUGGACUAUGACCUUGUUAUGAACUUUUUACCUGUACACGACCAUUAUCUUGCCUGCCCCUUGGAUCCUAAUAAAUAUCAGAGACUCGAACCAUCUGCCUCCCAUGUCUGCAUCUUAGUCUUGCCCUGUGCCUUAUACAUAUACAGUUGAAGUCAGAAGUUAACAUACACUUAUGUUGGAGCCAUUAAAACUCAUUUUUCAACCGCUCCACAAAUUUCUUGUUAACAAUCUAUAGUUUUGGCAAGUCGGAUAAGACAUUUACUUUGUGCAUGACAAGUCAUUUUUCCAACAAUUGUCUACAGACUAUUUCACUUAUAAUUCACUGUAUCACAAUUCCAG
Molecule: long non-coding RNA, 1473 nt
Filed under: Salmo salar (Atlantic salmon)
Lineage: Eukaryota; Metazoa; Chordata; Actinopteri; Salmoniformes; Salmonidae
Description: lncRNA (ENSSSAG00000103359.1)
Source: RNAcentral